Molecule: non-coding RNA, 76 nt
Organism: Glycine max (soybean)
Lineage: Eukaryota; Viridiplantae; Streptophyta; Magnoliopsida; Fabales; Fabaceae
Source: Rfam
GUCAUGAUGGCCGAGUGGUCUAGGCGCAAGUUCUGGUCCUCGUAAGAGGGCGUGGGUUCAAAUCCCACUUCUGACA